UGCUUAAUUUGGGACAGAAUUAGGAUGUUUAUACGUUUUUUGUUACAUCUUACUUUAUGACAAAAGGAGCCUUGAACUUAUUAUAUGAAACACUUGCUGGAUUACUUCUCAGAAAUGUACUUGCCUCUCAAUCCAGUCAAAUGGAUAACAAUGCAGUCAACAAGGAAAUGGAUCUGUAAAGAGGGCACUGAUGCUAACAGCCUCUGCAAGACUAACAGACUGAGGUCAAGACAAGUUCUUCUUCAAAGCCUUCAUUAAUUCCAAGUGAUGAGUGAAGUUAAUGGGAAGUUUUCUUCCCACUGAGGUGCAGAUUUAAUGCCUGCUUAAGAACACAGAGAAAGCCUGUCUCAAACUGAAAGCAAAGAAAAUGCAUAGGCUCCUUGAAAGGUAUGUGAAAAGUCUGAUAAAGAACCAUGUGCGAUGGAACGAUUUUGACUGCACAACCCAGACAUGCGUGGAUGAAACUAUUUCAAUUGCACAUCCUAGCCAGAAUAAAGUGAUGCCUUGAUUCUCUAAUACUGAAAAGAUGUUGUUGGAGCGUUUCAGUCUUUCCUGCAUUUUGAUGACAACUUGAUUGAAAAAGGC
Catharus ustulatus (Swainson's thrush) is the source of this 585-nucleotide long non-coding RNA. RefSeq lists it as uncharacterized. Lineage: Eukaryota; Metazoa; Chordata; Aves; Passeriformes; Turdidae. The record is from RefSeq and is a predicted model, not a curated record. The transcript is spliced from 4 exons.